This 77-nucleotide transfer RNA is filed under the name Gimibacter soli. Its description in RNAcentral is "Kordiimonadaceae bacterium 6D33 tRNA-Pro". It matches the Rfam family "tRNA". From Rfam's summary of the family: Transfer RNA (tRNA) molecules are approximately 80 nucleotides in length. The record is from RNAcentral. Lineage: Bacteria; Pseudomonadati; Pseudomonadota; Alphaproteobacteria; Kordiimonadales; Temperatibacteraceae.
CGGGAAGUAGCUCAGCCUGGUAGAGCACUACGCUGGGGGUGUAGGGGUCGCAGGUUCGAAUCCUGUCUUCCCGACCA